Molecule: ribosomal RNA, 315 nt
Filed under: Dactylium candidum
Lineage: Eukaryota; Fungi; Ascomycota; Orbiliomycetes; Orbiliales; Orbiliaceae
Description: partial large subunit ribosomal RNA
Source: RNAcentral
UCCGUAGUUUGCAGCACCUCGAGUAGCUGGGUAUAUCCUAAUUCAGAAAAUUUGGGAAAAAAUAUAUAUUUUUUACUCUGAAUUUUUAUUUAAUAUAUUUUUUAUAAAUUUAAGGCUGUGCGGCCUUUGGUUGCACCGGCUUAAUACGAAUUUGUAUAUAAGCGGAUAAUAUUACUUAUCCCUAUAUGUAUUUAAUCACUAUCUUUUUAUUUAAAGUAGAAUUUAAUUUUUAAGCAAGUAAGAUUUUAACUAUAUCGAUGAUAGGUGUAAUAAAUAAAAUUCACAUUUUCUAAUCUUCUUCGGUCUCGUUCAAUG